This 286-nucleotide long non-coding RNA is filed under the name Setaria viridis. Its description in RNAcentral is "long non-coding RNA (SVIR_LNC003055)". The record is from RNAcentral. Lineage: Eukaryota; Viridiplantae; Streptophyta; Magnoliopsida; Poales; Poaceae.
UUGUUGUCAUCAUCAAUAUGUAUUGCUUGUGAUGAACUCCCAUUGCUCGCAGCUUGUGGUCUGCUCUUCAAAAAUAUUUAGGAAGCCACUAGGAGGGUGAGAAUCUAAUCCCCUAGCAAAAAAAUAUACCCUAAAUAAAAACUUGCAUUCAAGCACUAGAUAUAAAUAAAUUGCAGCUUAGAACUAUAAACCUACAGUUAACAAAAUUCGCAUGUAACUAGAUAAGAAGCAUCACAAAUACUGUAGAAGUCUCUCACAUACAGGACAUCUAAUUUCAUAGCUACAG